RNAcentral lists this ribosomal RNA (314 nucleotides) under uncultured bacterium. RNAcentral's name for it is "bacterial SSU rRNA". It matches the Rfam family "Bacterial small subunit ribosomal RNA", at positions 32 to 324 of the family's 1533-position model. The record is from RNAcentral.
AAUCAACGCUGGCGGCGUGCCUCAGACAUGCAAGUCGAACGCGAAAGGCUCCUUCGGGGGCCGAGUAGAGUGGCGCACGGGUGAGUAACACGUAGGUAAUUUGCCUUUGGGUGGGGAAUAACUCAGGGAAACUUGAGCUAAUACCGCAUAAAUGCAGCGGCUCGACAUCGAGACAGUUGUUAAAGCGGGGGAUCGCAAGACCUCGCGCCUGAAGAGAAGCCUGCGGCAGAUUAGCUAGUUGGUAGGGUAAUGGCCUACCAAGGCGACGAUCUGUAACCGGCCUGAGAGGGCGGUCGGUCACACUGACACUGACA